CCAGUUCUGCUUUGCACUGUUUUAGAGCUCUUCUUUCUCAGACUCAUAGAGGUUCGGUUCGUUUUCUUAGGCCACUGUCAUGUGCAUCUGUGCUGUCUCAUUUCCCUGAAAGCUUUUCUCUAGCCCUGAGAUUGCUGCAGAAGAUGAUCUGAAACCUAACAGACAUGAUUUUGAACUCAGGCUGGCCUGGAACUCACUGUGUAGCCCAGGCUGGCCUUGUACUCUCAAUGAUCCUCCUGCCUCAGCCUCAGUGCUGGGAUUCUAGGAUGGAAGAAUAAAGUUACUAUCAUUUCAGUGCACAGUGUUUCAAAAUCUCACACUUACGAGGCAGGCUUUCCUGCUGUUACAUCCUUGUCAUCCAAAGUGGAUACCUCAGCUAGUUUGCUCCGGCUUGCUCCACCAGCUUUCCACCAGCCACCAGGACAGGGUGAGGAGGACACCCCCAGGUAGCCCCACCAGCUGAUGGCUGGGCCACACGGGUGCCUCCAACAAUACCCCACCCCCAACCCUGGCCUCUGGCCUUCUGGCUGUGCAGCUACUUGGUUACAUACUGCAGAGGCACAGGGGGACAAAAGCCAUUGUCUUAAGCUCCAGAAGUGAACAACAGAGAGAGUGCCUAUCUCAGGCUCCCUGAUGAAAAC
Heterocephalus glaber (naked mole-rat) is the source of this 641-nucleotide long non-coding RNA. The record is from Ensembl. NCBI's taxonomy places the organism in Eukaryota, Metazoa, Chordata, Mammalia, Rodentia, Bathyergidae.